UACAGAGGUGGCAAGCGUUGUUCGGAAUUACUGGGCGUAAAGGGCGCGUAGGCGGCCCACUAAGUCAGACGUGAAAUCCCCCGGCUUAACCUGGGAACUGCGUCUGAUACUGGAGGGCUUGAGUAUGGGAGAGGGAUGUAGAAUUCCAGGUGUAGCGGUGAAAUGCGUAGAUAUCUGGAGGAAUACCGGUGGCGAAGGCGGCAUCCUGGACCAUAACUGACGCUGAGGCGCGAAAGCUAGGGGAGCAAACGGG
Molecule: ribosomal RNA, 253 nt
Filed under: uncultured bacterium
Lineage: Bacteria
Description: partial 16S ribosomal RNA
Rfam family: Bacterial small subunit ribosomal RNA
Source: RNAcentral